RNAcentral lists this ribosomal RNA (412 nucleotides) under Verrucomicrobiota bacterium. RNAcentral describes it as "Verrucomicrobia bacterium partial 16S ribosomal RNA". It matches the Rfam family "Bacterial small subunit ribosomal RNA", at positions 355 to 776 of the family's 1533-position model. Lineage: Bacteria; Pseudomonadati; Verrucomicrobiota. The record is from RNAcentral.
UGGGGAAUCUUGCGCAAUGGGGGAAACCCUGACGCAGCGACGCCGCGUGCGGGAUGAAGGCCUUCGGGUUGUAAACCGCUUUUGAUUGGGAGCAAGCCUUUUGGGUGAGUGUACCUUUCGAAUAAGCGCCGGCUAACUACGUGCCAGCAGCCGCGGUAAUACGUAGGGCGCAAGCGUUAUCCGGAAUUAUUGGGCGUAAAGAGCUUGUAGGCGGUUCGUCGCGUCUGGUGUGAAAGCCCAUCGCUUAACGGUGGGUUUGCGCCGGGUACGGGCGGGCUAGAGUGCAGUAGGGGAGACUGGAAUUCCCGGUGUAACGGUGGAAUGUGUAGAUAUCGGGAAGAACACCAAUGGCGAAGGCAGGUCUCUGGGCUGUUACUGACGCUGAGAAGCGAAAGCGUGGGGAGCGAACAGG